CUCCCUGCCUCUUCAUUUGUACGUAGUCUGUAUUUAGGUCAGAAUAGUGUUCACUGUGUGAACUAAACUGUGUUCUUGGUUAGAAAUAGCUGCACAAAAUAAGUAUUGUAUCUUAUUGAACCUGUGUUUUUUAGUUGUCCAUGACCAUGAAAUGCUCUUUUUGUACGUCGCUUUGGAUAAAAGCGUCUGCCAAAUAAAUGUAAUGUAAUGUAGUCUCCUGAAAUCCUCGGGAAGGGGGGGGGGGGUGGCCGUAAAAAUUGAUUUAUAACCUCCAGUUUGACGCCUUGGUCACCUUUAUUAUCCUUGUGAAUCCCAUAUGAUCGAGGGAUCCUGAGGGGUUUUCUUGUCAUCAUGUUUGCACAUGCAUUAAGAUUGCAACUGAACUGAAAACCCAUUCCCCCACUUAAAUGGUCCAGUUAGCUGGUAGUAUUUACUUUCUUCAGGCACACACGCAAGCUUCCUUCUAAGUGUAUCAUCUAUUCCAAAAACAAUACAUUUAUUAAACGACUAGGCUAAUUAGGAGAUGGAUAGAGAAUACACACGCACACACACGGCCACACCUGCCAUAUUAUUAAUUGAGACAUCCUUUUUGCUAAAUGUGUGAAGCAUUUACUUAGGUAGGUAUCUCCAAUGUCCAGUUGUAUUCAGUCACUUAGUUUUCCAUGACUACUCAAAAAACCCAGAGGACCACGACAUUGUAAAGUCCUUCCUGACUGCUCUUGGAAUUGUGUGACGGAGUUGCUUUGGACCCAUUGUCUCAGGAAGCGCCAAAUGUGACAUCAUCAGCGCGAGCCGGUCGUGCGUUCAGCCGCACUGAGCGAAGUUUUACCGCCACUGUCAGGAACGGAACAGCCAGUAAGAAAGGAGCCAGGUCGUUCAUCGCGACGAGUAACGAGCGGUGGCUAGAAGCCGGCGGUGGCUAGAAGCCGGCGGUGGCUGGAAGCCGGGGGUAGCUGGAAGCCGACGGUGACUCCCGACGUCGACUCUGACGAGGCUGAUUGGGGACGUUGAUGCGUGCGGUAAUUUUGAUUUAUUCAUUAAGAAGUGCGUUUAAGGAUCCCGGGUCUGUUAAUCAAUCAUUGCCUCCCCCGCCCCCCCACCCCGUUCCUCGACGGGGCUGUAAAUUUUACUCUGCUCCAUGUCUUUCAAGGCGCUGCACCCUCCGUGUUAAAAUGGAGGGGGGGCGACGGGGGACAGGGGGAGGGGGAGUCUGGCGGAAGGCCACGAGGCAGAUCUGUGUUUUUACGCCUCUGUGUUACUCUGAAAACGUGUGCGCCCCUGCGCCCCCUCUUAGGUCUGCCUCGUCCCAUGCUGGAGGCACGCUGGUUAGGGGCAGAAAUAUGUGACUGGGUGACAGACAAUGGGGGCGUAACGCUCUUUUGGUACAAUGCAUCCCAGCCCACCUUCAGCUUCCUACUGUUGUGAGGCGGGGUGCGAUGUGUGCAAGGCAAGGGCUAUCAUUAGAGCUUCGGCGCCGGGCAGCAGGAUGAAUCAGAUGACGAGGGCUGGACUUGUAAUUAGACAGCUUGUUGGAUUUGACCGUUUCUCAGUGCGGUUUUUAAAUGCAUUUAUUUAUUUAUUUUAUAGCUGAAACUUUGAGUUCCAGAGAACAGCUCUCAUGUGUAAAGAGGCGCAUCCCCUCCUUUCUGAAGAAGAGUGUGUGUUUGUGUGUGUGCAUGAGAUGGGUGCAUCAGUGAGAACAUUGCAUUGUGCAAGUGGUGUGUGUGUGCGUGUGUGUCUCUGUAUGUCUGUGUGUGUGUCUGCAUGUCUGUGUGUGUGCGUGCAUGCGUGUAUGUGUGUGCGUGUGUAUAUGUGCAUGCAUGUGUGUGUGCGUGUAUGCAUGCAUGCAUGUGUGUGUGCGUGUAUGCAUGCAUGCAUGUGUGUCAGGUCCUGAGGCUGCAGAUGGGUCUCGUAGCUGUGUAGAGCUCAGCAGCAGCCUGCGAGGCCCCAGACUCCCUGUCCCUGCUUUUUGAACACUGGAAGCUGUUCAUGGAAAGCUGUCUGUCCGGAGCAGAGAUGAUGUAUGAUGCCAGUCCCGCAUCAUACAUCAUCUUUACCAGCCCACGCAUCCAUCCACCGAGCCCCCAGGCGCCUAUCCCACACAUCACAGAGUACCACGGCAGUGUGUGCGCUCUGGGGUCAGUGCCCAGUACCCACCGAACCCUGUCAUAAGCCUACAGAGGAGGUGGGCCAAUAAACGGUGCUCUCUCUCUCUCACGCUCUCUCUCUCAUUCUAGCCUGUCUUCAGUCUUUCUUCCACUUUAUAUCCCUCUUUCUCCUUCAUUCAUUCUCAUCUUUCUGUUGUCCUUUUGCUAUGGGCUAAAUCUCUUAUCUGCAGUUCACCCAGAUGGAGAGAGAGCACAGGUCACUUCUAUUUAUUUACUUAAAAAAAGGAAAAAAAAGAAAGAAAGAAAAAAGCAAUCAAGGAUAUUUUGGAAGGAGAAUCUGGAUGUUUGCAAAACACAUCUGGACCACAAUCAGCCAGGGGGGGAAACGAGAAGCUGAAAACAGAUGUGGCGGUUUGGGGUGGUGGGGUGUGAUGGCCUGCAGGAACCUGAUACAGUACACCCACCCCCACCCCCCAACUGGGGAAUUCUCACAAAGAUAGCGGGAGGUUUUUUCUGGGGAGUGGCCACGGGGCGUGUGUUUUCGUCAGAGGGGUGUACAGUAGUUCACGCGCGCUCGCUGUACGGUAUGUGUGUCAGCGGAAGGGCGGGCCCCUUCGCCGGUGAGGACGGGAGAAAGCCGCUUCCGGGCCCCUGGUCGCGCGCGGGGACCGGUCCGGUAAGAACCGGGAAAUCGGGCCGUGACGCUUACGAGGAGGAGGAAAGCGCUCCGGCGUCCUGUGGAAUUCUCCCGGGAUGGAUACCGCCUCCGCCGCUCGUCUCGCGCGUUUGUGUACUUCGCUUGUUGUUGUUCGUUUCUGUUCUGCCGUCUGUUCACUUUUCUGACUAGAUUAGAGCGUGUUCCCUGGCAUCUUGGGACGUGUCGACCGCAUUCCAAAAUUAUUUACUUGAGACUGGCUAUACAUUUAAAGUUAAAUUGGUCUCUUAAUAUCCAUUUGAGUAUUCACGUCCAGACACCUGAAAAUUUUUAUUUAUAGCUUUUCCUUGUGAAGAGAUUUCACCUCCAUUUACUCGUCUCCAAGGAGCAAUGCUAUCAAUAUCCAUCAAUUGUCUCAUUUUAUUAUUGGGUUCUUCAAUGUUUCUUGAUGACAAAUAGAAUGAAGUUAAAUGCUGUCUUCAUCUAAGUACUGAUUCAGUUAAUCAACCAGUGAUCAAAGUUCCAUAAUUAUUUACUUGAGGCUGUUGUUUGUUGUUUAUUUGUUUUGUUCCCAUGCAUUGACUACAGUCUUUCUUUGAAAAUUCUGUUUGCAAUGAGCCCGAAGCUUGAUUGCAUGAGCAAAUAGAGCCAAACCUGGAACCUUCCAAGAUGUUUCGGAUAUGAAGAGCUGUUGCCCUCUGACCUCUAUCCCGGCUUAUUUCCAGCAGAGCAACUGCACAGUGGCUUCCCAGCACUCUCUCCCCCCCCCUCCCCCCACCCCCAUCCCCGACCCUCCCCCCAUCAACAGGAAUAGCGGGACUGUGAUGCUGGCCAGGACACUUGUUUGGUAAACAGACGCUACCCUGCACGACAUCAAAAUCACUUCCUGUUUUUCUCCAUUUCCUCCAAUUAAACGAGAGGUCUCUCACUUCCGUCUGCCUUGCUUUAAAGCUGCACGGGUCAUGACGGAGCUCAUCGGAAGCGCGUCCACCGAGCAGCUGUUGACCCUUGACCUUUCGGACCCUGGGGAAGCGAGACGCAGCAGGGCUUUUAUUUCGGGAGUUCCGGUCUCUCAGGGAGAAGCUGAAGUAUCCAUGUCUCGCCAUCUCACCGCAACGAACAGCGAAGGGCUUCUAUCGCAACCAACGCUAAGUAAUCGUUCGCAAAACGGUUUCAUCGCAGUGACGUAACCGUGUUACACUGCUGCUGCAUUGCAACAAUGUUGGGAGAACAUUGUUUUUUCUCUUGGUAUUCUGACCAUUUCCAGCACACAGCCAAUCACAAGACCUGAGGUUUUGCCCCCCCCAAAAAAAAGCACGAACGACCGUUUUGGUGAUAAACUGCUAAUAAUUCAACUGCUAAGAAUUAUUAUUUUUUGGCCGAACUGGAGUUGAAUUACCACAGUGCAAUUACUAAUGUGGAAUUAUAGAGCGUCGGCUUCUGGAAAAUGGGGUUCUGUAGCUUGUGGAGUUAGGCCGUGGAACAGAUUGGAUUCAGGGUUGAAGUUACGACCCCAAAAGUUAAUCUUCCCCCUUCCGAGACGUUUGUAUUGCAGGUUUGGCCGAGGAGCCGGCCCGCGUGAGGAAUGGCCCGAGACCGGCAAUGUGAUGUGGCUUUCCCCGGGGAGCGUUAGCCCACACCGGUCAACAAUAACCUUUAACUGUAAAGAGGUAACUGCUCGUCAGGAUCCUUUUUUACACUGAAGGCAAUACAUUUAUUUAUGAGCGUCUAUGAACAUGUCCAUUUCUGAAGGAGGAGUGUGCUGGCAGUGUGUGUGGUCAGAGGAAGGCUGGAUGCAAAGUAAUACGAGAUAUUUGAUGAGGAGCAGAGUUAAAAGGUUGAGUGAACUGUUAAGGAUGGUAAAAGGCCUCAGAAAGCCAUCAAUGUGGAAAAAGCUUAAAAUAAAUAAGAAUGAUUGCAUACAGGUAUAAAAGCAUACAUGUGGAAAGAGAGACCAGGGGAAAAUACUUGCAUGCACACACAAAAAGAUAUUUAAUCCACUGUGUAAUGUGGUAUCAAGGGAUCUAUGGGAGGUUGCAGGUUUGAUUCCCCUGUUGUAACUGUGUUGUUUACCUGAAUAACUCUGGGCACAGCAGCACAAUGACAAGCCUUUCUGGGGAAGAGAGAGAGGGGAAGACGAUAGCUGAGAUGUCCUGUGCAGCUCCACAUUAUCGAGUCCUAAAAGUAGUCAAAUCCAUCCAUCCGUUUUCUUAAUCCGCUUGUUCCUGUUCAGGGUCAUCGGGUGGGGGAAUGUGGGAUUGGAGCCUAUCACAGCAUGCAGUGGGAAAGAGCUUGGAAUACACCCUGGACAGGUGGCCCAUCCAUUGCAGGGCCCACACAGCCUUCACUCACACAUUCAUAACUAUAGGCAAUUUAGAGUAACCAGUUAGCCUACUGUGGACUGUGGGAGGAACCUGGGGUACCCGGCAGAAACCCACAUGGACAUGGGGAGAACUUACAAGUUCCCCACAGAAAGGGAUUCGAACUUCAGUAACUUCAGUACGACAGUGACAUUCACUGCACCACCGUGCUGACCUCAGUCUAAAAUAUAUUGGGCAAAAGGGGAAUGCAGUGGUUGGGAGCCCCUAAAUCUGACAUUGACAAAUGGCCUGUUGGCUGACUAAGACUUCAUAGCCACAGAACGACCCUUCGAGAUAACUUUAUUUGGUGGGCCUGAGCCGUCGAUAAAUAUGAACCAGAGUGAUGGGGGGGGGGGGGUCAAAUCCAUACAAACCAACGACCUGUUCUCAGCUGAAAUCCUUUGGUUUUCUUUUUCCCCUCCUCUUUCCUCAGUGCAGCUGGGAUGAAAGUAAAACAGUGCGGUUUCGCUCCUGCAUAAUGCCGUGUUUGCUCACGGUGGUGCCGAGGCGGAGACGGCACAAAAGGCCGUGUGUUGGAGACGGCGGGGUUCACGCCGCGCGCCAGCGGAGCCGCCGGACGGGCGGCCGGACGGGCAGCCAGACGACCAGCCUGCGCUGACGGGAGGGAGGGAGGGAGGGAUUGAUACUGUCACACUCAGACCCGUGCGACCCUAUCUGUUUCAAGGAGUCUCGAGCGCACGCGCCAAUGUAAACAUGAUUUUGGAAUGGAGGGGGUUGGUUGGGGUGUUAGGUAGGGGGGGCGCGGGGUGGGGUGGGUGGGGGUGGGGGGUGCCGGGUGGGGGGAGGUCUCAUACUUCAUUUCAGAAUUUAGAGGAAAUGUGAAGCGUGCGGAUGACAAGAUGCCAGUUUCCCCGGAAAGGAAACAAAACUCCCUCGACCCUCCUCUCGACCUUCCUGGGAAGAGCUCCUAAGAGUUGGUUUCCUGUUUCAGGACUAAUACCGCCGUGUGGCAUAUCUUGAACAGGUCUCUGUCACCUCAGAGGUGUUUCUCUCUCUCUCUCCUUCUUUUCUCUCUGUAUCUUUCCCUCUCUGUCUCUAUGCCUCUCUCUCUCUCUCUCACUCUCUCUCUCUCUCUGCAUCCCUCCCUCCCUCCCUCCUAUCCUACCCCUCAUCCCCCAAAAAACACCUUGGCUUCCUGCCAAGGCAAACACACGGCCGAGGGGGCGGCAGGGCUCCCGUUCCCAUGGCGACGGCGGCGCGGGGGCGCGGCGCUGGCCCUGGCGAUUCGGAUCGGCGGGCCGAACAAAGAGCCCGAUUCAGGGGCAGGAGAGCCGCGGUCCUUUUCAGGGCCUGAACGCCGUGUCCAGGCGCGCGGUCGGAGAACCCAGAAAACCGCAAGGACUUAUCGCGGCCAAUCAAUUCGUCCCUCGCUUGCUUGCUCGCUGACACACAGGACCACUGUGCUACAGGCUGAUUCAGUGACGUGUCUCCACUUCUCCUCAUCCUCAUACAGUUGCCUGAACCGUAACACGGCGUUGCUGGACUUUUCUGCAACGCACUGGCUUCAUGCCUCGCACCAGGAUCACUUUCAGUGGGUGGGGAAAAGAUUGACCACCUAAACCAAUUAUUUUUAAUUUAGUUUGUUGUUUUAUUUAUUUUAUUGAACACCCUGAAUUCAAUUUUAUUAUAUAUGACUCUCUAUAUAUGACUAUAUGACUGUGAGAUCUAUUUUUCAGGUUUGAUGGAAAACAUGAUUUUUCACAAUAAAUGACUCAAAACACCUUGGAUUAAUUUUA
Molecule: long non-coding RNA, 6880 nt
Organism: Anguilla rostrata (American eel)
Lineage: Eukaryota; Metazoa; Chordata; Actinopteri; Anguilliformes; Anguillidae
Exons: 2
Source: RefSeq, a predicted model, not a curated record